GAGCCUGCGAGUUAGUGGCAUGUGGCGAGGUUAACCCGUGUGGGGUAGCCGUAGCGAAAGCGAGUCCGAAUAGGGCGGUCCAGUCGCAUGUUCUAGACCCGAAGCGGAGUGAUCUACCCAUGGCCAGGGUGAAGCGACGGUAAGACGUCGUGGAGGCCCGAACCCACUUAGGUUGAAAACUGAGGGGAUGAGCUGUGGGUAGGGGUGAAAGGCCAAUCAAACUCCGUGAUAGCUGGUUCUCCCCGAAAUGCAUUUAGGUGCAGCGUCACGUGUUUCACGCCGGAGGUAGAGCUACUGGAUGGCCUAGGGGGCCCACAAGCUUACCGAAGUCAGCCAAACUCCGAAUGCCGGUGUGUGAGAGCGUGGCAGUGAGACUGCGGGGGAUAAGCUUCGUAGUCGAGAGGGAAACAGCCCAGAUCGCCGGCUAAGGCCCCUAAGCGUGUACUAAGUGGAAAAGGAUGUGGGGUUGCGAAGACAGCCAGGAGGUUGGCUUAGAAGCAGCCAUCCUUGAAAGAGUGCGUAAUAGCUCACUGGUCGAGUGAUCCUGCGCCGACAAUGUAGCGGGGCUCAAGUACACCGCCGAAGCCGCGGCACUCACACAAGACAUCGGCACAUUCCUGCGGGGGUGUGUCCAGUGGUGUGGGUGGGUAGGGGAGCGUCGUGUGUCCUGGGAAGCAGCGGGGUGACCUAGUUGUGGAGGGCAUGCGAGUGAGAAUGCAGGCAUGAGUAGCGAAAGACGAGUGAGAAACUCGUCCGCCGAAUGACCAAGGGUUCCUGGGCCAGGUUAAUCCGCCCAGGGUGAGUCGGGACCUAAGGCGAGGCCGACAGGCGUAGUCGAUGGACAACGGGUUGAUAUUCCCGUACCCGUGUAUCCGCGCCCAAUGGCGAAUCAGUGGUGCUAAGUGUCCUGAACCCGAGCGACCACCUUCGGGUGGCGUGAGGGGGAUGCACACGACCCCUGCUGUAGUAGUCAAGCGAUGGGGUGACGCAGGAAGGUAGCUGGGCCAGUCAGUGGUUGUACUGGUGUAAGCCUGUAGGGCGAGUGGUAGGCAAAUCCGCCACUCAUGUGCCUGAGAGGUGAUGCGUAGCCGAUUGAGGUGAAUUCAGUGAUCCUAUGCUGCCGAGAAAAGCCUCUAGUGAGUUGGUACACGGCCCGUACCCCAAACCGACACAGGUGGUCAGGUAGAGAAUACCGAGGCGAUCGAGAGAACUGUGGUUAAGGAACUCGGCAAAAUGCCCCCGUAACUUCGGGAGAAGGGGGACCAUGUCCGGUGAACGCCCUUGCGGUGGGAGCUGGGUGUGGUCGCAGAGACCAGAGAGAAGCGACUGUUUACUAAAAACACAGGUCCGUGCGAAGUCGUAAGACGAUGUAUACGGACUGACGCCUGCCCGGUGCCGGAAGGUUAAGAGGACCGGUUAGCGCCUUCGGGUGCGAAGCUGAGAAUUUAAGCCCCGGUAAACGGCGGUGGUAACUAUAACCAUCCUAAGGUAGCGAAAUUCCUUGUCGGGUAAGUUCCGACCUGCACGAAUGGCGUAACGACUUCUCUGCUGUCUCAACCACAGACUCGGCGAAAUUGCAUUACGAGUAAAGAUGCUCGUUACGCGCGGCAGGACGAAAAGACCCCGGGACCUUCACUAUAGCUUGGUAUUGGUGUUCGGUACGGUUUGUGUAGGAUAGGUGGGAGACUGUGAAAGCGGCACGCCAGUGUCGUGGGAGUCGUCGUUGAAAUACCACUCUGGUCGUAUUGGACCUCUAACCUCGGGCCAUGAUCUGGUUCAGGGACAGUGCCUGGUGGGUAGUUUAACUGGGGCGGUUGCCUCCCAAAAUGUAACGGAGGCGCCCAAAGGUUCCCUCAGCCUGGUUGGCAAUCAGGUGUCGAGUGCAAGUGCACAAGGGAGCUUGACUGUGAGACAGACAUGUCGAGCAGGGACGAAAGUCGGGACUAGUGAUCCGGCACCGGCAUGUGGAAGCGGUGUCGCUCAACGGAUAAAAGGUACCCCGGGGAUAACAGGCUGAUCUUCCCCAAGAGUCCAUAUCGACGGGAUGGUUUGGCACCUCGAUGUCGGCUCGUCGCAUCCUGGGGCUGGAGUAGGUCCCAAGGGUUGGGCUGUUCGCCCAUUAAAGCGGCACGCGAGCUGGGUUUAGAACGUCGUGAGACAGUUCGGUCUCUAUCCGCCGCGCGCGUUAGAAACUUGAGGAAGGCUGUCCCUAGUACGAGAGGACCGGGACGGACGAACCUCUGGUGUGCCAGUUGUCCCGCCAGGGGCACUGCUGGUUGGCUACGUUCGGAAGGGAUAACCGCUGAAAGCAUCUAAGCGGGAAGCCUGUUCCAAGAUGAGGUUUCUCACCCCCUUCGAGGGGUUAAGGCCCCCCACAGACCAUGGGGUUGAUAGGCCGGAACUGGAAGCACGGUAACGUGUGGAGGUGACCGGUACUAAUAGGCCGAGGGCUUACCAACAA
Molecule: ribosomal RNA, 2461 nt
Filed under: Nocardia donostiensis
Lineage: Bacteria; Bacillati; Actinomycetota; Actinomycetes; Mycobacteriales; Nocardiaceae
Description: bacterial LSU rRNA
Rfam family: Bacterial large subunit ribosomal RNA
Source: RNAcentral